This is a long non-coding RNA of Octopus sinensis (East Asian common octopus), 151 nucleotides long. RefSeq lists it as uncharacterized. The transcript has 4 exons. The record is from RefSeq and is a predicted model, not a curated record. NCBI's taxonomy places the organism in Eukaryota, Metazoa, Mollusca, Cephalopoda, Octopoda, Octopodidae.
UAUAUAUAUAUAUAUAUAUAUAUAUAUAUAUUUCCCUAGAUAAUUGUUAGUUCCCUCUUUUGCCUAUCGACUUCAAGCUCCAUGCUGCAAGAUGGUAUGAGUUUAAUAUAUUGACCCUUAUGGCGUCAUCUCGAGGCCCUGUUCUUUCCUU